UUAGAGUUUGAUCAUGGCUCAGGACGAACGCUGGCGGCGUGCUUAACACAUGCAAGUGGUGCGACGAACCAGGGCUUGCCCUGGGGCAAAGCCGCGAACGGGUGAGUAACACGUGAGUAACCUGCCCCGAUGACCGGGACAACCCGAGGAAACUCGGGCUAAUACCGGAUGUGGCGCACAGGCAUCAGCCUGUUCGCUAAAGGAAGCUUCGGCCUCCGCAUUGGGAGGGGCUCGCGGCCCAUUAGCUUGUUGGUGGGGUAACGGCCUACCAAGGCGACGACGGGUAGCUGGUCUGAGAGGAUGGCCAGCCACAUUGGGACUGAGAGACGGCCCAGACUCCUACGGGAGGCAGCAGUGGGGAAUCUUGCGCAAUGGCCGAAAGGCUGACGCAGCGACGCCGCGUGGGGGAUGAAGCAUUUCGGUGUGUAAACCCCUGUUGCCCGGGACGAAUCCUGGUUUUCGAGCCAGUUGACGGUACCGGGUGAGGAAGCACCGGCUAACUCCGUGCCAGCAGCCGCGGUAAUCCGCC
RNAcentral lists this ribosomal RNA (529 nucleotides) under uncultured bacterium. RNAcentral describes it as "bacterial SSU rRNA". It matches the Rfam family "Bacterial small subunit ribosomal RNA", at positions 1 to 529 of the family's 1533-position model. The record is from RNAcentral.